RNAcentral lists this ribosomal RNA (492 nucleotides) under uncultured bacterium. RNAcentral describes it as "partial 16S ribosomal RNA". It matches the Rfam family "Bacterial small subunit ribosomal RNA", at positions 29 to 507 of the family's 1533-position model. The record is from RNAcentral.
AGUGAACGCUGGCGGUAGGCCUAACACAUGCAAGUCGAACGGCAGCACAGUAAGAGCUUGCUCUUACGGGUGGCGAGUGGCGGACGGGUGAGGAAUACAUCGGAAUCUACUUUUUCGUGGGGGAUAACGUAGGGAAACUUACGCUAAUACCGCAUACGACCUACGGGUGAAAGCAGGGGAUCUUCGGACCUUGCGCGAUUGAAUGAGCCGAUGUCGGAUUAGCUAGUUGGCGGGGUAAAGGCCCACCAAGGCGACGAUCCGUAGCUGGUCUGAGAGGAUGAUCAGCCACACUGGAACUGAGACACGGUCCAGACUCCUACGGGAGGCAGCAGUGGGGAAUAUUGGACAAAGGGCGCAAGCCUGAUCCAGCCAUACCUCGUGGGUGAAGAAGGCCUUCGGGUUGUAAAGCCCUUUUGUUGGGAAAGAAAAGCAGCAGGUUAAUACCCCGCUGUUCUGACGGUACCCAAAGAAUAAGCACCGGCUAACUUCGUG